CAUAAUGCACAUGUAACUUUAAACCAUAGAAUACUUGAUCUAUAUCAGAAUGAAUGCACAACUCAAAUCAACAUUAAAAAAUUAAUCAGUGCUCAGUUUGGUCACUUCCAAUUAAUUAAACAAUAUAAAGGUGGCAAAUAUAUAUCCAAUUAAACAAUAUAAAGGUGGCAAAUAUAUACUGCACUCUACAAAUGGACAAGGCUAUUGCCAAAAUUGAUGACUUAACAGACAAGCUCAAUUAACAGUAACGAGUUGUUCGA
RNAcentral lists this long non-coding RNA (260 nucleotides) under Setaria viridis. Its description in RNAcentral is "long non-coding RNA (SVIR_LNC008291)". The record is from RNAcentral. Lineage: Eukaryota; Viridiplantae; Streptophyta; Magnoliopsida; Poales; Poaceae.